RNAcentral lists this ribosomal RNA (523 nucleotides) under uncultured bacterium. RNAcentral describes it as "bacterial SSU rRNA". It matches the Rfam family "Bacterial small subunit ribosomal RNA", at positions 791 to 1310 of the family's 1533-position model. The record is from RNAcentral.
UAGUCCACGCCGUAAACGAUGUCAACUAGCCGUCGGGCUCAUUAUAAGGGUUUGGUGGCGCAGCUAACGCGAUAAGUUGACCGCCUGGGGAGUACGCCGGCAACGGUAAAACUCAAAGGAAUUGACGGGGGCCCGCACAAGCGGUGGAGCAUGUGGUUUAAUUCGAUGCAACGCGAAGAACCUUACCUACCCUUGACAUCCUCAGAACUUGUUAGAGAUAACUUGGUGCCUUCGGGAAUUGAGUGACAGGUGCUGCAUGGCUGUCGUCAGCUCGUGUCGUGAGGUGUUGGGUUAAGUCCCGCAACGAGCGCAACCCUUGUCCCUAGUUGCCAGCACAUAAUGGUGGGAACUCUAGGGAGACUGCCGGUGACAAACCGGAGGAAGGUGGGGAUGACGUCAAGUCAUCAUGGCCUUUAUGCCCAGGGCUACACACGUGCUACAAUGGCCGGUACAGCGGGUCGCGAAGUCGCAAGGCGGAGCUAAUCCCUGUAAAGCCGGUCCCAGUUCGGAUUGGGGUCUGGAA